UUACUUCUUUAAAAAGCGAGUUUAGUUUUGUUUCUUACUUUAUUAAAAAAUUACGUAUUUUCAGAAAUUGUUUGUUGAUAGGUUCGGUUCGUAUUGAAUUUGAACUCCUUGGAUACUUGAGCAUAUUGUUUAGAAAGAUCACAAAUCCACACAAACUUGCCAAACAAAUCUAAUCGUUAUCAUCCUGAACCAAUCAGAAUGACCCGUCUGACUCAGCCAGAGGGUUUACUGGUAUAUAUAUUUCCAAAAACAAGCUCUUCUUUCCUUUUUCGUAUGUGUUCUUCUUAAAACCCCUAGUCAAAGUUCAUACCUCUGGUAAUGAAUUCACACAAACAUAACACUAGUCCAAUCUCUACACUCUCCUUCUCAUCUCACUACAAAUACUCCCUCUUUGCUACCUCCUUAGACCUAAAACGACAACGUUUCACUUCUCCGUUGUUGUUGAUCUUCUUGUUCCUCUGUUUGUCUUUUGCUACUUCCAUGGCAGUCUCAGACUCAGAUUCAGACUCUGGUCCUGUUGUUCAGACGACCCCACUCGUCACCUUCCUCCAGCGCGUGCAACUCACGGCACUCCGAUCAUACUCCAAGAAGCCUGACCCUAAAUUCUACAUUGACCUGUCUCUCAAGCUCCCUCACGAUCUCUCCACCGCCGAGUCCGCCUUCGACGAUCUCACGACCGGGUCACGUGACCUGUCAGUGCCAGUGGAGAAGCUUGAAAAGUUCGUCCACGAGUACUUCGACGAUGCAGGGAAGGAUCUGGUGCACCACGAGCCAGAGGACUUCGUCUCAGAUCCCACCGAGUUCCUCCUCAACGUGGAGAACGACCAAGUCAGAGAAUGGGCGCGUGAGGUACACUGCCUUUGGAGAACCCUGAGCUGCAGAGUCUCUGACUCGGUCAUAGAGUCACCUGACCGGCACACGCUUCUCCCGUUGCCGGAACCGGUUAUCAUUCCCGGUUCGAGAUUCAGAGAAGUCUAUUACUGGGAUUCUUAUUGGGUUAUCAAAGGACUUUUGACGAGUAAAAUGUUCACUACGGCCAAAGGUUUAGUGACGAACCUGAUGUCACUUGUGGAGACUUAUGGUUACGCUUUGAACGGUGCUAGAGCUUAUUACACUAACCGAAGCCAACCACCUCUAUUGAGCUCAAUGGUCUAUGAGAUCUAUAACGUAACCAAAGAUGAAGAACUUGUGAGGAAAGCUAUCCCUGUGCUUCUCAAAGAGUACGAGUUCUGGAACUCAGGAAAACAUAAGGUUGUAAUUCGAGACGCAAGUGGCAAUGAUCACAUCUUAAGCCGGUAUUACGCCAUGUGGAACAUGCCUAGACCUGAAUCCUCUGUUUUCGAUCAAGAAUCAGCUUCGGGGUUUUCGAGUACGUUAGAGAAACAACGGUUCCAUCGAGAUAUAGCUACGGCUGCUGAAUCAGGAUGCGACUUCAGCACGAGAUGGAUGAGACACCCUCCUAAUUUCACAACGAUGGCUACAACAUCAGUUGUUCCUGUUGAUCUAAACGUCUUUCUUCUCAAGAUGGAACUCGAUAUAGCGUUUAUGAUGGAGAUUGCUGGAGAUAGAAAAGGUUCAGAGCGUUUUGUGAAAGCGUCAGAAGCGAGAAAGAAAGCGUUUGAGACUGUGUUUUGGAAUGAAAAAGCAGCGCAGUGGCUAGAUUACUGGCUUUCCUCCAAUGGUGAUGAGCCUGAGACAUGGAAAGCUGAGAACCAAAACAACAAUGUUUUUGCAUCUAACUUUGCUCCAAUCUGGAUUAGUUCCUUCCAUUCAGAUGAAAAUCUUGUCAAGAAAGUUGUGAAGGCUCUUGCAAACUCAGGACUCAUCGCUCCCGCAGGAAUCGUAACAUCUUUGACAAACUCGGGACAACAAUGGGACGCUCCUAAUGGAUGGGCACCGCAACAAGAGCUUAUAGUUACAGGACUCGCAAGAUCUGGUCUAAAGGAAGCUAACGAGUUGGCAGAGGAGAUUGCAAGGAGAUGGAUAAGAAGUAGCUAUCGUGUUUACAAGACAAGUGGGUUUAUUCAUGAGAAGCUCAAUGUUUCAGAGUUUGGUGCAUAUGGUGGUGGAGGGGAAUAUAAGCCACAGGUAAAACAUUUUUAGUUUAAGCACUCUAAUUCAACUUCUUUUACUUAGUUAGCUAUUAAGGGGUCUAAAAUGCAGAAAACAUAGUUAUAUUAGCAUUCUUGACUUUUAUCUUGCAGACGGGAUUUGGAUGGUCAAACGGAGUUAUAUUAGCAUUCUUGGAGGAGUUUGGAUGGCCCUCUGACCUGAGCAUUGAACCGUAGAUUUACUACUUUCGUAUUAAACAUUAAAUAAAGGAAUUACUUCAUAAUUUGCAAUUUUAUUUAAACUUUAUGAUAGUGGGAAUUUACUAGUAGUUUCACUUUUUGUGUGGAUUCGGUUAGAAUGUUUUGGUGUUCCAGAUAUUUUGUGAUCGAUAUAAUCAUCAUCCCAACU
This is an RNA transcript of Brassica rapa (field mustard), 2460 nucleotides long. It is a transcript of the gene named trehalase, with no coding region annotated. The record is from RefSeq and is a predicted model, not a curated record. Lineage: Eukaryota; Viridiplantae; Streptophyta; Magnoliopsida; Brassicales; Brassicaceae.